AACGAACGCUGGCGGCAUGCCUAACACAUGCAAGUCGAACGAGAACUUCGGGUCUAGUGGCGCACGGGUGCGUAACGCGUGGGAAGCUGCACUUAGGUUAGGAGUAACUCCCCGAAAGGGGUGCUAAUACCGGAUAAUGUCUUCGGACCAAAGAUUUAUCGCCUUUGGAUGGGCGCGCGUUGGAUUAGCUAGUUGGUAGGGUAAAAGCAUACCAAGGCGACGAUCCAUAGCUGGUGUGAGAGGAUGAUCAGCCACACUGGGACUGAGACACGGCCCAGACUCCUACGGGAGGGAGCAGUGGAUAAUAUUGUACAAGGGGCGAAAGCCUGACCAAGCAAUGCCGGGUAAGUGAUGAAGGCCUUAGGGUUGUAAAGCUCUUUUACCCGGGAUGAUAAUGACAGUACCGGGAGAAUAAGCUCCGGCUAACUCCGUG
This 433-nucleotide ribosomal RNA is filed under the name uncultured bacterium. Its description in RNAcentral is "partial 16S ribosomal RNA". It matches the Rfam family "Bacterial small subunit ribosomal RNA", at positions 29 to 507 of the family's 1533-position model. The record is from RNAcentral.